Lotus japonicus is the source of this 7847-nucleotide long non-coding RNA. RefSeq lists it as uncharacterized. The record is from RefSeq and is a predicted model, not a curated record. NCBI's taxonomy places the organism in Eukaryota, Viridiplantae, Streptophyta, Magnoliopsida, Fabales, Fabaceae. The transcript is spliced from 37 exons.
CUUUGCAGAAGGAAAGGAAGAGGGUUUUGCAUUGCAAGAGUGAAGAGUGAGUGAGUGAGUGUCAAGAGUGAAGAGUGAAGCGUGAAGGAAGAGUGAAGAUCAUCGCCGGCCGCAACAACCAGAGCGUUUCUUUCUCUCUAUUUUCCUUUCUCUUCUUCUUCUUCUUCUUCUUCUUCUUCUUCUUCUUCUUCUACGGUAACAUUAACGGUAACGUUAACUUGAGAGAGAGGGUUUCGAAUCAAACAGAGAGAGAGAGAGAGGGUUUCGCCUCAAACAGAGUGGGUUUCUUUUCUUUGCUUCAAGAAUGCAAAGAAAUUGAUCAAGAAUCGUUCAAUUGGAAGAAUAAUGGAUGUGAUCAAGAUGCAGCAGAAAUUGCUGCUUAUGAAGUUGAGGAAAUAGGAGUUGAACACUUGCUUAGAGAUGUGAAGGAUACAAUCAUUAGCACCCUCGCAACAGAGGUGGGUUUGGGUUAAAGAAUUGGGAAGAAUUUCGUAGAAAUUUGGAAAAGAAGUUGUGAGCAUUUAUGUUUUUUCUGGGGUAUUAAGGUGAAUUUUGGUCCUAGAAUUUGGGAGAAAGUGAGAGAAAUUUAGACCAAAUCAGGAAAGACGACACUCUAGAAGCAAAACAAGCUCAACAACACACUAUCUUAGAUGACAUGAUAGCUUCCCAACAAGAAUGCCAUCGGCAUCCAUUAUGCGAGAUAUGCACCACUGGCACCUUUUUCAGGGCUAUUAUCCACCACCUAGUUGAUUUUGUGAGUUCUUUCCUUUUUCUCCUUGUUAACUUCACUUUUACAUUGGGAUCAUUUAACGUUUAAGCAUGAGGAGAUUGAUUUGCAUUAUCAUUUUUUAUUGCCAGUGUUACUUGUUAGCAUGCGCAUAUUAUUUCAUUUUGUUUGCAUUAUAGCAUGUCAGACUCAUCAUAUCCUUUCCCAGGUUUUAUCUAUCUUAUUUCACUUUCUUUAUUAAAUUUUAAUGUUGAUACUUUACCCAAUUUGUUUGUUUAAUUAACUUAAGUACAUAUAAACUUGUUUUAAAACAUUUUUUUAGAAUUGAAAUACAAAUUUUAAACCACAAUAUAAGCUUUGGAUAGCAGUAGCACAACAUAUAAUGGUCCAGUUGUGUGAUGGGGUUGUGGAUUAAGAUCAGUUAGUGGAGCCAAUGCCCAAGGUGUGGAGGACCCAAGGUUUGGAGGGUAUAUGUGAGAAAGAGAAAGUACAAUGCGGAAAAGAGGGAUUGAAUGCAUGAGUAAGUUAGGAGGGCAGGUUAUGAGUAUGGGGGGAUCAUAGUGGAGAAUCAUACUGGUUAUACACGAUUAGAGAGAGAAUUCCAAUAGGAAUUGGAACCUCUGUAGAAGCCAUAUGCUCUGGUUGGUUUCUAUUUUCUGUUUUGGUUGUUAUAGUGAGUCUUACCUAAAUUUUCUUUCUCAAGAUUCCAUAGAUGUCCUAUUGAGAAUUUAUGUGUGCGCAUCUUGCAUACUAUUUCCGUAGUAUUUUAAAUCUUUUUCGUAUUGUUAUCAUUCAUGCCUGUUGAUUUAGUAUGCAACAAUGCAUUUUAGUUGCUUUAGUUCACAUGAUUUGUCUAUUUUAUGUUGUGUUUGAGGUGAAAUUUUGUCCUUUAAUUGGAAGUAUUGAAAAAGAUUGUUAGAAUAGAUUGCCAAUAGGGGUUUUGGGAGCAAGCGAGCGAAAUUUAAACCAGAUCAAUGGGAGAAUCAUUAAGGUAGUUUAUAUACGGUUAGAGCGAGAAUUUCAAUAGUCUUUGGAACCUCUGUAGAAGCCAUAGGCACUGGUUGAUUUCUAUUUGUUGUUUUGCUUGUCAUAGUGAAUAAAUAUUUUCUUUUUUCUAGAUUCCAUAGAUUUCUUAUUGAAAAUUGAUGAGUAUGUAUGUUGUUGCAUACUAUUUUUAUAGUAUUUUGCCUAUUUUCUUUAGUUGUAUCAUUCCUGCUAAUUCCAACAUGCAUAUUGCUUGUUUUAGUUCAAAUGAUUUGGUUUUUUUUUCUUGUUGUGUGUGUAGGUGAGUUUUGGUCCUAAACUUGGGAAGAAUUGAAGAAAUUUGUUAGAAAAGAUUUUCGGUAGCUUUUGGAAUCAAAUGACAGAUUCAGAAAUGGAUAGACAGAGUCAAGGCUAUUUUCAUCCUGAACCCCUGUAUCCUUCUGAGGGCCGGCUUAUAGUGUCCUCUAACGCUGGUCACCUAAAAAUUGUUUUGCGUCUUCUUAUUAUUUUUCUGCUUGUCGGUUUUCUUUUUGAGGUGAAUUUUGGUCCUAUAAUUUGGGAUAAUUGAAGAAUGGCGAUGACAGAUUCACCGCCUAGUUGAUUUUACGGACUUUCAAUAGCUUGCCCUUUGACUUGGGUCAGCAAGGCUUUAGGGCUAAUCAACACAAAUGUGCACAUCAUCAUUAAGUGCUUCCUCCACACGCUACCAGACGGAUGGCACCAAAUUGCUGGCUGAGCCAGUGCUUCUUCUCCUACACGCAGGAGCAGCUCCACCUCGUGCCGGAGCAGAGCUCUAAGAGUAACCAGCUCCAAAUUGCAAGUUGUGUUGUUUUCAGGACAUGGGCUGCAUGGUGUCCUCUCCAAAGGAUUCUGGUGGAAACAGAAAGAAGCUCGGGAGUAUUUGAGAAGAUUCUGCCUAUGUUCCUGGUCUAAGAAUUCCUAAACCUGUUGAUUUUGCAGUCACAGGAUCGGUUGUGAUCUUACGACUACAUUUUGAAAAGUACUGAGUAAUUGAUCAAUUUCUAGGGGUUUGCCAAAUAGCUCCACUGAAUUGUAGCUAUACCAGGCACAUGUGAUCGAUGUCUUGAAGUACUUUUGACCAAUUCGGGAAGGCGACAAAGUCACACCUAACCGAUCUCUUAUGUUCUCUCAAAUUUUAGUCAUAUUUUUCAUUUUAUCCCCCCCUCACUCGCUCUCUCUCUCCUUUAUUUUUGAUUCUUGAUGUACUUUUCUUGCAGGUUGUCAACAAUGGAGAUUUAAUGCUGUUUUUCUAAUUUGAAAGCGCACCAGAUUGAAUUCUUGAAGCAUCACGACAAGUUUGAGCAACUACAAGGUAUAGCUACAAUUCAAUUGCAAUUAGCCUUUCCACGCCAGAGUUAGAGGCGCACUUGAUCGAAUUCUUGAAGUUCUUUGAUCAGUUCGUGAAGACAACGAAGCUUUAUGCAGUUCUUCUUUCCUCAAUAGAUCCAAUUUGCAAAGGACGAUGCAAUCAGCCUUUUCAGAAUAACGCUCCACUGAAUUGUAGCUAUUCGAGGCACAUGUUAUCGAUUUCUAGAAGUACUUUUGACCAAUUAGGGAAAGCGACAAAGGCGCCCCUCAUCGAUCUCAGAUGUUCUCUCAAAUGUUGUCAACAAUGGCGAUUUAAUGAUCUUUUUCUAAUUUGAAAGCACACCAGAUUCAAUUCUUGAAGCAUCACGACAAGUUUGAGCUACUACAAGGGGUAUGGAUGGUGUAGAUUCCCUCGCAAACGAGACAACCAAGCGGGUGGAGGAAAACCACGAUGGUGUCUGAAAUCUUUCAUGCGUCUCCUUCCUCUAACUGAAAUAAAAUAAAACGAAAGAGAACUUGCUGGUGUACGUCUUGGAGCAAUGAUCCUAUUUUCGAGCGACAAAGCAAUUAUCUUUUCCACGGUAAGUGUCUUUCUUGUAUAUUGGUGUUGUUAUCCUAAUUGUUGAUUUUUUUAAAACUAGAACUCGAGGGGCACUGAAACAACAACGGGCCAAGGCAUUUUAUCGUGUUUAGCCAAAGUUGGAGGCGCACUUGAUCGAAUUUUUGAAGUUCUUUGACCUGUUCGUGAAGGCAACGAAGCUUUAUGGAGUUCUCAUUUCCUCAAUGGAUCCCAUUUUCAAAGGACGAUGCAAUCAGCCUUUUCAGGAAAACGGUUUUGCGUAAACGCAUUGGUUAAUUUGUCCCAUAUUGCAUUAUUCGAGUAAUUAUAGAAUCAUGCAUGUAUCUUGUGUACCCGGGCACAAAACACAUGCUAGGUGCUAUAAUUAACUAAGGUUACUUUAGAGUCCAUUCUAGUUAUUGUGUUCAGUUCUUGUCUUGUUAUUUUUUUGACUGCGUUCAGAAGCCCUUAUGGAAAUGUUUUCUAUAUGUUUUCAGGUCCACUGAAUUUUAGCUAUUCAAGGCAAAUGUGAUCGAUUUAUUGAAGUACUUUUGACCAAUUCGGGAAAGCGACAAAGGCGCACCUCGCCGAUCUUUUAUGUUCUCUCAAAUUUUAGUCACUUAGUCACAUUUUUCGUUUUAUCCCCCCCCCCCACCCCUCACUCGCUCUCUUCUCUCUUCUUCUUUUUUGAUUCUUGAUGUGCUUUUCUUGCAGGUUUUCAACAAUGGCGAUUUAAUGAUCUUUUUCUAAUUUGAAAGGAAACCAGAUUAAAUUCUUGAAGCAUCAGGACAAGUUUGAGCAACUACAAGGGUAAACCUCACUGCUCUUAGGGGUAUGGAUGGUGUAGAUUCCCUCUCGAACGAGACAACCAAGCGGGUGGAGGAAAACCACGAUGGUGUCUGAAAUCUUUCAUGCUGCUCCUUCCAAUAACUGGAAUAAAAUAAAACGAAAGAGAACUUGCUGGUGUACGUCUUGGAGCAAUGAUCCUAUUUUAGAGCAAUAUAGCAAUUAGCCUUUCCAGGCCAGAGUUAGAGGCGUACUUGAUCGAAUUCUUGAAGUUCUUUGAUCAGUUCGUGAAGACAACGAAGCUUUAUGCAGUUCUUCUUUCCUCAAUAGAUCCAAUUUGCAAAGGACGAUGUCCACUGAAUUGUAGCUAUUCGAGGCACAUGUGAUCGAUUUAUUGAAGUACUUUUGACCAAUUCUGGAAAGCGACAAAGGCGCACCUCGCCGAUCUCUUAUGUUCUCUCAAAUGUUUUCAACAAUGGCGAUUUAAUGAUCUUUUUCUAAUUUUAAAGCACACCAGAUUGAAUUCUUGAAGCAUCACGACAAGUUUGAGCAAUUACAAGGGGUAUGGAUGGUGUAGAUUCCCUCUCGAACGAGACAACCAAGCGGGUGGAUGAAAACCACGAUGUUGUCUGAAAUCUUUCAUGCUGCUCCUUCCUCUAACUGGAAUAAAAUAAAACGAAAGAGAACUUGCUGGUGUACGUCUUGGAGCAAUGAUCCUAUUUUCGAGCGACAAAGCAAUUAGCCUUUCCACGUUCUUCUUUCCUCAAUAGAUCCAAUUUGCAAAGGACGAUGCAAUCAGCCUUUUCAGGAUAACGGUUUUGCUAAAACGCAUUGGUUAAUUUGUCCCAUAUUGCAUUAUUCGAGUAAUUAUAGAAUCCUGCUUGUAUCUUGUGGAGCCGGGCACAAAACACAUGCACUUGCUAUAACUAACUAAGGUCCACUGAAUUGUAGGCACAUGUGAUCGAUUUAUUGAAGUACUUUUGACCAAUUCGGGAAAGCGACAAAGGCGCACCUCGCCGAUCUCUUAUGGUCUCUCAAAUGUUUUCAACAAUGGCGAUUUAAUGAUCUUUUUCUAAUUUGAAAGGAAACCAGAUUGAAUUCUUGAAGCAUCACGACAAGUUUGAGCAACUACAAGGGGUAUGGAUGGUGUAGAUUCCCUCUCGAACGAGACAACCAAGCGGGUGGAGGAAAACCACGAUGGUGUCUGAAAUCUUUCAUGCGCCUCCUUCCUCUAACUGAAAUAAAAUAAAACGAAAGAGAACUUGCUGGUGUACGUCUUGGAGCAAUGAUCCUAUUUUCGAGCGACAAAGCAAUUAGCCUUUCCACGUUCUUCUUUCCUCAAUAGAUCCAAUUUGCAAAGGACGAUGCAAUCAGCCUUUUCAGGAUAACGGUUUUGCUAAAACGCAUUGGUUAAUUUGUCCCAUAUUGCAUUAUUCGAGUAAUUAUAGAAUCCUGCUUGUAUCUUGUGGAGCCGGGCACAAAACACAUGCACUUGCUAUAACUAACUAAGGUCCACUGAAUUGUAGGCACAUGUGAUCGAUUUAUUGAAGUACUUUUGACCAAUUCGGGAAAGCGACAAAGGCGCACCUCGCCGAUCUCUUAUGGUCUCUCAAAUGUUUUCAACAAUGGCGAUUUAAUGAUCUUUUUCUAAUUUGAAAGGAAACCAGAUUGAAUUCUUGAAGCAUCACGACAAGUUUGAGCAACUACAAGGGGUAUGGAUGGUGUAGAUUCCCUCUCGAACGAGACAACCAAGCGGGUGGAGGAAAACCACGAUUGUGUCUGAAAUCUUUCAUGUUGCUCCUUCCUCUAACUGGAAUAAAAUAAAACGAAAGAGAACGUGAUGGUGUACGUCUUGGAGCAUUGAUCCUAUUUUUGAGCGACAAAGCAAUUAUCUUUUCCACGUAACUUUGCUUCUAGAAUCAAUGCAAGAGACCGACAACCUCAGAAGCCCUUUACCAUGGUUUCUUCCAGUGUUUCAGUUGAUAACUCAUGAAGAGGGAAGGUCAAAGAGCAUGGAGAAUUGAUGGAAGCAUUCAAAGGGGAGUUACAAAGAAGAAAAAAAGUCAUUUCAACGAGCAGCUAGCGCUCAAGCUAGGGGUGGGCAAAAACCCGAGACCGACCCAAACCCUAGGUAUCCGACAGUUCAAAAACGCAAUGGGUCGGUUUGGGCGGGCCAUCAGGUUUUAAAAUGAAGAAAAUGGUUUGGAGUGGGUUGUAUCGGGCGGGUACGGGUGCAGAAAAUUUCUCUCGUUGAUACCCGAACCCGCCCAAGCACAUGUACAAAAAUAAUAAUUAAUUUUUUCCCUGCUACAUUGCUACGUAUUCUGCCCUUCCCUAUAAAGCCUAUUUUUAAGCAUAAUUGCUCUAUCUCACCUACCACCUGUUAUCAGCUAUCCUAUCUACUCAUCAUUAAUUACUCUCUAUUUCCUAAGCUUUUUGUUCGUUGGGAAGUGACUAGUGAACACCACUAAGUCACACUAUCAAACUUAUCUUUAAUUUUAAAAGUUAAAGCUUGAGAAAAGAGAAAAGUAACAACACACCUCUCUAGUUCCUUCCAAGAAAUUACAACCCAUUCUUAUUUCCCCUCCUGAACUGGUCUUUAACCUUUUCUCUUUUCUUUUCUUUUUUUCCCACCCUCUCUCUUCCAUGAGCAAUCAACGGUGCUGCAUGGGAGAGGAAGAUAAGCGAUGGUAGCCCACUAACACCACCAUCAGAGGGGCAACUCGAGUGGAGGAGCAACGGGUAGCUGGUUCGACAGGGUCUGUAGGCAAAACAAAAGAUGAAGGAAGGAAGAUGGGACUGAGGGCUCGGGAAGGGUUAUUUGUGGAUUUCUUUCUUCUUUGUCAAAAUAUUUCAAGAUUUUUUGAGCUAAGGAGUCAUUCAGUCCAUACCUGUAUUAAUCCACACAUCCAACCCGUCCAUCGACCCAACCCGCAACCGAUCAAACCGAAGCCUCAUUCGGACGGCAGCGGACCAGAAUAUUUGUCUGUUGGUUUUUAUCGGAUCUGGGUUUUUUAGCCCGAACCCGCCUGCACCCGACCUAUGCUCAGCCCUAGCUCAAGCGCUAGCGCCAGCAGUCCAGUAGCUUUGGAGUUGCCGAUUCUGGUGGGGCGCGCCCCAGGGCAGCGCUUGAGCGCCCUAGCUCGACCAUUUUGCCUAUAAAUAAGGUUUUUGUCAUUUUAUUCAGAACUUUUGAUCAUCUCCUUAUAAUUUUACCAAGUUUAGAAGCCGAGGAAGAGUUUUGGGGCUUGUGAGAGGCUUCCACCUUGUAAUUUCUCAGGUUCUAUUACAUUUCGUUGUAUGAUUUCCUAGCAAUGAGUGGCUAGUUUUACUUUUGCUUUGGGUUUUAAGUGAUUCCAUGAAACUUUAGUUGUAAAUUCCUAUCUCUAUGCAUGAGUUCUUGACUUAGCCUUGUAUUUCAAUUCUAUUUUACAUGAUUAGCUUGAGUGCACGCUUCCUAUA